This 455-nucleotide ribosomal RNA is filed under the name uncultured bacterium. RNAcentral's name for it is "bacterial SSU rRNA". It matches the Rfam family "Bacterial small subunit ribosomal RNA", at positions 340 to 786 of the family's 1533-position model. The record is from RNAcentral.
UACGGAAGGCAGCAGUGGGGAAUAUUGCACAAUGGGCGAAAGCCUGAUGCAGCUAUGCCGCGUGUAUGAAGAAGGCCUUAGGGUUGUAAAGUACUUUCAUCGGGGAGGAAAAACAAAACUAAUAAUUUUAUUUCUUGACGUUACCCGAAAAAGAAGCACCGGCUAACUCCGUGCCAGCAGCCGCGGUAAUACGGAGGGUGCUAGCGUUAAUCAGAAUUACUGGGCGUAAAGAGCACGUAGGUGGUUUUUUUAAGUCAGAUGUGAAUCCCUGGGCUUAACCUAGGAACUGCAUUUUGAAACUGAAAUACUAGAGUAUCGUAGAGGGAGGUAGAAUUCUAGGUGUAGCGGUGAAAUGCGUAGAUAUCUGGAGGAAUACCUGUGGCGAAAGCGGCCUCCUAAACGAAUACUGACACCGAGGUGCGAAAGCGUGGGGAGCAAACGAGGGAUUAGAUACC